ACUCCUACGGGAGGCAGCAGUGGGGAAUUUUGGACAAUGGGGGCAACCCUGAUCCAGCAAUGCCGCGUGAGUGAAGAAGGCCUUCGGGUUGUAAAGCUCUUUUGUCAGGGAAGAAACGGUAGUAGCUAAUAUCCUAUUACUAAUGACG
This 148-nucleotide ribosomal RNA is filed under the name uncultured Herbaspirillum sp. Its description in RNAcentral is "partial 16S ribosomal RNA". It matches the Rfam family "Bacterial small subunit ribosomal RNA", at positions 335 to 474 of the family's 1533-position model. Lineage: Bacteria; Pseudomonadati; Pseudomonadota; Betaproteobacteria; Burkholderiales; Oxalobacteraceae. The record is from RNAcentral.